GAUGAACGCUGGCGGCGUGCCUAAUACAUGCAAGUCGAGCGAACGGACGAGAAGCUUGCUUUUCUGAUGUUAGCGGCGGACGGGUGAGUAACACGUGGAUAACCUACCUAUAAGACUGGGAUAACUUCGGGAAACCGGAGCUAAUACCGGAUAAUAUUUUGAACCGCAUGGUUCAAAAGUGAAAGACGGUCUUGCUGUCAUUUAUAGAUGGAUCCGCGCUGCAUUAGCUAGUUGGUAAGGUAACGGCUUACCAAGGCAACGAUCCAUAGCCGACCUGAGAGGGUGAUCGGCCACACUGGAACUGAGACACGGUCCAGACUCCUACGGGAGGCAGCAGUAGGGAAUCUUCCGCAAUGGGCGAAAGCCUGACGGAGCAACGCCGCGUGAGUGAUGAAGGUCUUCGGAUCGUAAAACUCUGUUAUUAGGGAAGAACAUAUGUGUAAGUAACUGUGCACAUCUUGACGGUACCUAAUCAGAAAGCCACGGCUAACUACGUG
RNAcentral lists this ribosomal RNA (497 nucleotides) under uncultured bacterium. Its description in RNAcentral is "partial 16S ribosomal RNA". It matches the Rfam family "Bacterial small subunit ribosomal RNA", at positions 28 to 507 of the family's 1533-position model. The record is from RNAcentral.